Lolium perenne is the source of this 1758-nucleotide non-coding RNA. NCBI's taxonomy places the organism in Eukaryota, Viridiplantae, Streptophyta, Magnoliopsida, Poales, Poaceae. The record is from RefSeq and is a predicted model, not a curated record.
GCCUCCUACCUUUACUCUUGGUUUGUUCCGAAUUUUUUUUCCGCCUGGUGGAUUUUAUCUCUUUAUUUCUCCUGAACCGUUCUUUUCCCCCGAGGUUCCUGGGUGUCUCUUUUAUUCUUUUCUGGUCGUCUUCAUUUCUCCGCCCAAAGUGUGUCCCAGGCAGGGAGAGGGAGAUCCAGGAAGGAGGAUGCUGUGCUGGGCUCUCCUCGGACGGAAGUGGAACAUGGGGUCACCAGGCGGACGAGGACGGAGGAGGGCAGAUGGGUCCUGGAGGAGGCCAACAGUCGAGGUUCUCCCAUGGCGGAGACGGAGCCGCUUUUGAGAGAGGAGGCGGAAGGAGCAGGCGCCGUCAAUAGAUCGGAGGCCCGAGGAUCAGGAAGCAGCAACAUUGAAGGUUUUCCGAGACCAUGGAUUGUACGAGUUUUGUGCGGCGCUGAUUUUGAGCUUUUUAUAUUUGUGCACAUGUGAUGUGUUUUGCUGAUACCUGUGGAGCAAUCUGAAUACCGUAAGUAUCGAUCAUGCCGAAACCUUGAUUACUAAAUGCAAUGGGCAAGCUAACGUUCUCUACUUCUAUGAUUAGUAUGAACAACACUGUCUUUUCUAUAAUUUUAGUAUGGUGUGCUCCAUCAAGAUAGGUUUCGAAUGAUAAUUUUUGUAGACAAAGAUGUUGCGCUUCUUCCUGGUAUAUUAGUAGGAGGGUCUGGCAUUCACAAAAAACAUAGUAGGAGGGACUGGCACAAAUCAUGUGAAGGGUUCGCUGGAUGAGGUAGAAGAGGAGUAGCCCAAAACACUGCAUCUAUAGUGCUUAGUACCCAUGGCCACUUGUCAUGGUUUUUUCAUUGCUUAGUUUCUAAUUCUUUACUCAGUUUAUUAUUGUAAAAUAUCACCAGACACAUUUCUCAAUAUAAAAUAGAAUCAAUAAACCCAAUGUUAUGUUCGGCUAAAACCGGACUUGCUCCCACGAGAAGAAAUGUGUUAUCUUUGUUUUCUCAUUGGUAAAGGUAACAAGUAUUGCAGGUAGACAAGGACUAUGCUUAAUUCGAGUACAACUAUGGUAUGGUCAAUAUUUUUCAGUAAGAUGUGUUCAACACCACUCUCUUCCAUUCCGAAUGCUUGUAUUUUUCAAAAGACAAACGAGCUCAUGCAGUUUUUGGUUUUGUGGAUUGCCACCAGAUAGUCCUUGUCAAGAGCCAAUGAGAUUAAGAGAAAUAAGAGAGCCAUAUUCUUGAGCAAGAUAGAUGUAAAGCAGAGUCGGUGAAAAAGGAGGAGACGGUGUGGGGUGAUAUGCCCGUGUACUGCGUGUAGGAGGUCCAAACGAUUGUCCAUCUUCGGCUGCCUUCAUUUUAUUGUUGAAAUUCUCAUUCCCCUCCAUCGUGCAUCCCUUGCUCUUGUGGAUCUCCCCCUCUCUUUUCGUUCUGAUCUCCUUUCUCCCUUUUUUUCAUGCGUUAUUGUCGUGCUCCGCUGGGAUGGAGGAGUCUUAGCGUGAGGAGGAAGAAGAAAGAAUGGUGGCGUGGAUGCAGAUACAGAACAUGCCAAGAGAAAGAAGACCCAUAUUUUGCAGUUCGUGUGUAAUGCCCAUAUAAUAGUUAGAUCUGGUAAUAACGGGGCAAUAACUGGGCCAGAAGGAGACUAAAUUUGUUUGGAAACAGGGUUUAGUUGUGGUACUAGUAAAAAGCCAGAGAAAAAACCGGACUCACUUGUAAUAACCAUAACUGGUCAGAAUGGUAAAGGAAUGAGGAUUGAAAGGAACGAACACUA